GAUGAACGCUAGCGGCAGGCUUAACACAUGCAAGUCGAGGGGCAGCACGGUAGCAAUACUGGUGGCGACCGGCAAACGGGUGCGGAACACGUACAGAAUCUACCUUUAUCUUGGGCAUAGCCCGGAGAAAUCCGGAUUAACUCCCCAUAAUAUAAAUGAGUGGCAUCACUUGAUUAUUAAAAAUUCAUUGGAUAGAGAUGACUGUGCGUCCCAUCAGCUAGUUGGUAGGGUAACGGCCUACCAAGGCGACGAUGGGUAGCUGGUGUGAGAGCACGACCAGCCACACGGGCACUGAGACACGGGCCCGACUCCUACGGGAGGCAGCAGUGAGGAAUAUUGGUCAAUGGACGCAAGUCUGAACCAGCCAUGCCGCGUGAAGGAUGAAGGCCUUCUGGGUUGUAAACUUCUUUUACCUGGGAAGAAACCACUUUUUUCUAAGAGUGUUGACGGUACCAGAGGAAUAAGCACCGGCUAACUCCGUGCCAGCAGCCGCGGUAAUACGGAGGGUGCAAGCGUUAUCCGGAUUUACUGGGUUUAAAGGGUGUGUAGGCGGGCUUUUAAGUCAGUGGUGAAAUCUCCGGGCUCAACCUGGAAACUGCC
RNAcentral lists this ribosomal RNA (600 nucleotides) under uncultured bacterium. RNAcentral describes it as "bacterial SSU rRNA". It matches the Rfam family "Bacterial small subunit ribosomal RNA", at positions 28 to 625 of the family's 1533-position model. The record is from RNAcentral.